GCUUUCUUAACACUUUCGCUGACAGUACGUCGUUAGACGGGAAAUUAACAUAUUGCGGUAUAACAGUACGUCGAAGGACGGGGUACUUACUUUUAUGAGCAUUGGCAGUACGUCGUCGGCCGACAAAUUCUAAUAGAAGCAAUAUGAAAAAUAGCAUUCACUGUCAUAUUGUAAGCAAUCUCACAUUUCUUACUGUCGUAACAUGAUUGUUUUGUGGGUAGUUUAAUAUUGCUGUCUCAGUUGUUCACGCACACACGUAAAUAGUUCGCAUAUAAGUACUACGUCCACCGGCGUGAGCGCACGCUAAUUUCUCGAUCAAUCAGUGCGGCCACUGCCAUUUUGUGAACAACCACGUGUUUACGUCACUCAAACAAUGUCAGCAAAAAGUUCAAAGAAACGUCCAAAAAUACGCUUGUGCGACGAUUUUUCAUCAAAUUCGCCAUCUGAAGCAGAUUUAGAUCCCUUCGAGGAUAAUGACGGUGAGUAUGGUUCUGACACGAACUAUGAACCACAAAAUAUAGAAGAAACUGGUGCAUCCAGUUCAUCAGAGGAAAUAUUUUCUAUAAGACCUUGUCGAAAAUACUCAUUUCUGAUGUGUAAAAUGUGUUCCAAAGAAUAAGAAGAGGGUCGAAACUAGCUACAGGUGCAUUGGUUGUCCAGGACUUCCUCCAUUAUGUCCUGAAUGUUUCCAGGAUUAUCACCAAAUCCUUGAACAGCAAGAACAAUAAAUCGUAGUCUGACUCUUCAAAACCUUAUUUUGCAGAUUUAUUUUCAUUUUUUGAGACUCUAUACGUUCCUAUUUUUAUAAUUAUUUACUAGGGUAUGUUGAACUAUUUUUUUGUUACUUUGGUACUUAUAUGUUUAAUAUUGUUUUCUUUUAUUGAGUUAAUUAUUAGGGUUUUUUAUUGUUUGUUAGUAGCGUUGCCGUAGUGUCGAAACUUUGUAUAUUUAUUAUGUACAAAGAUUGUUAUAGAAGAUUUCCGAUAGCGCAUUAAAAUAUUAUAAUUUAUAAUAAUUUAAGCGUUAAACAUAUGAUAUAAUCAUUUGAAUGUUCCUAAUUACAAUACCAAAUAAUUUGUAAUUAUUGUGUAAGAAAUGUGUAUUUGAAUAAGUUUCAGACUAUAUCUGUUUUUCAUCGUACAGAUAUUGAAAAAUACCAUAACAUAGCAUUUGAUGUUAUAAUAAUUAAUAUAUUUUUUUGUUUUUUGUUGGGAAAUUUCGUUUAUUUUAUAAGUCACAAAUUAUUGUAGGAGGUUUAAUAUUUGAAAAUAUUUGAUUAUUUUACAAAUA
Molecule: long non-coding RNA, 1290 nt
Organism: Bombyx mori (domestic silkworm)
Lineage: Eukaryota; Metazoa; Arthropoda; Insecta; Lepidoptera; Bombycidae
Exons: 2
Source: RefSeq, a predicted model, not a curated record